AUAUUAAAAAAAUAUAUUUUAUAAUUAACAAAUAUAUGUGCGGGUACCCAUGGAUACCCGCGGGUUACCCAAAAUACUCACAACUUAAUGGGUACCCACUCGUUUUUUCCGUAAUUUUUUGGGUUGGAAAGUUGGUACCCAUAUCAGCAAAUUUGCGAGUAACCCGCGGGCACCCACGGGUUUGGGUCGAGAUUGCCGGGUCUAAUCUAAUGUAAUUGGCUAAGAGUUUGAUGGUUAGCAUCCGCGAGCUCAAGAUCAAAAUCUAAUUACUUUACAUUUUUAAUUGGAUUCUUUUUUAAAAAAAACAUGACGUUUCAGAGAAAUUUUGAUUCCGAUCAUAAUUAGUUAAUUCAGAUUCGGCAAAAAUUCGGUACGAAUAUAAUACGCAUAAAAUUCGUGUUCUAAUUUUUAAAUUCAUUGAAAAAUUCUACUUAAAAAACGAAUUUGGUAUAAAAUAUAAAUUAUAAGAUAAUUUAUAUUUAAAAAUAAAAAUUAUAAAUUUUUUAUUCAUAUUUUCAAUAAUUCGGGAAUAAUUCGCGAAUAAUUCGGUUGGUCUAAAAAUUCGCGAAAAUUCGUAAACAGACCGUUUAAUUUGGAUUUUCAAUAAUUCGCGAAUAAUUCGCGAAUAAUUCGCGAAUUAACUAACUAGGAUUCCGAUUAGUCCCCC
This 667-nucleotide long non-coding RNA is filed under the name Ananas comosus (pineapple). RNAcentral describes it as "long non-coding RNA (ACOM_LNC023138)". Lineage: Eukaryota; Viridiplantae; Streptophyta; Magnoliopsida; Poales; Bromeliaceae. The record is from RNAcentral.